GCACCAUAACUUACUUUAUUAGCAUAACACCCGCAGGUAUGUGAAUUAACACUUCCUGAUUGCUUAAACUAAGUUUAUAAUCACCGGUGUGUGAAUGAGAAGAGUGCACUGAAAUAAAGACUGAGGAUUUGAUAGAAAGUUUAAUAAUCAUUUAAUACUAGUGUAUGUUUAAUGUAAGGAGCCUGUAUUGAGGUAUCAUUAUUUCUUCGUCAAAUGGAAGAUAUAAAACGCCUGAAACUGCAGUAUGAUGCUGCUAUGGCCAAUCAAGAAGUAGUCCAGCAACAACUAAACAUACACCGCUUUCUCAGAGGCCGACUAAGGUGGAGAAGAGGAGCCAGAGCACGUUAUAUAUGGAGAAGACCAUGGCUGCUUUCCGGGAGACGGCGCCAAUUUGGAAUCUAUGAUCAGCUCAUGGUUGAGCUCAGAAGUGAAGAUCCUGGAACAUUUAAGAAAUCGCUCCGCAUGCCUACUGAAAUGUACGAUACAAUUUUGGGAAGGUUCGUCAUCGCCUCGUAAAGCAACACAUUCGGUUCAGGGAGCCCUUGGAUCCAGGGCUUAAGUUAGCUGUCACACUACGUUACCUGGUUUCUGGUGUCAAGUAGACAUGCAGUAUUCCUGGCGGGUCGCUGAGAAUACCCUCUCUGUAGUAGUCAGAGACGUGUGUCAUGCUUUUUGUGAAGAAUAUGUUGAUGAGGUUAUAACAGUCCCCUCCACACCUGAAGAAUGGAGACAACUGGCUGAUGGUUUCCUCAAGAAUUGGAACUUUUCAAAUUGCGUUUCUGCUAUUGAUGGCACGCACAUAGCUAUCCGAAAGCCUGUCAGCUCUGGUUCCUUAUAUUAUUAUUAUAAGGUAUUCUAUAGCAUCAUCUUACUGGCCAUUGUCGACUCGGACUACAAGUUCGUAUGGUGUGAUCUGGGUUGUGGGUAUUAGUCUACAUAAAUUUAACUGCAUUAUUUUGUAAUUACAUGAAUUAUAUACAUUUAGUUUUCAAUGUACAGUUGUAUACUGACAAUUUCUAAUCCUUUUGUAUUUUCAGGAUACGGUUCAAGUGGAGAUGCCAAGAUUUGUAAUGAAUCAGAAAUCCUUUAGAUAUUGCAGGAUGGUUCCAUUGGAUUUCCAGACUCACAGCCCUUUCCAAAUGACAACGUCGACAUCCCCUAUUUCUUGGUUGGAGAUGACGCUUUCAGUCUUAGCGAGAACAUGCAGACACCCUAUUGACAUAGAGUCCUGAGAGAGACGAAAGCAUCCUGAACUACCGGUUAUCCAGGGCUAGGAGAGUAUCAGAAAAUGUAUUUGGGAUUUUGGCCAACCGAUUCCAGAUACUUCUCACAAAGAUGAACCACAGCCCAUCCACAGUAAGGCUGAUUGUAAAGACAUGCUGCAUUCUCCACAACUUGAUGAGGAUCAGGUACCCCACCAUGCAGAAUGUACUGGUUGCACUGGUUGACCAUGAUGAUAGAAGAGGCGAUCUGGUUCCUUGGGAAUGGAGAAGAGGUCGCAACUUGUAGGAUACCAAGGAUGUCAAUAUCAGGGACCACAACACAGGAAUAAAUCAAAGCGCUGAAGCCACUGAAGAUGUUCGCUAUUGCAUACUUUAACACGCAUUUCAUUUUUGAAAAUCAAUCGCAAGUUUGAAAUGAACACACGCCAUUCAACUUUAUAAAGUGUGUGUCAUAGCGCACGGGUCGAGUUUUGUGUGCACUUUUUAUCAUCCUUAUUAUUUCAUAGAAAUAACUAAGACAAAAUAAAAACAACAUGCUUUUUGGAAGUUCUGAAAGCAUAGAAAAGUAUGACGAAAAUGGUAAUGAGAACUUAAUAUAAAGAAAAUUUGCAGUCACCAUCAUAUUAAAGGAACAUUUUUUUCUAAUAUCAAAGACUAUCUCACCAAGAAUAUAAAUUCAUGAUGAAAGUUCCGUGUACAAAACUUUUGAUUUUUGACACCAUAUACAAAUUCAAAAUAUACAAUAAUCUUCGUAUCUUGUAUAUGGAGGAAUAAAAGUAUAUAAACAUUA
Molecule: long non-coding RNA, 2013 nt
Organism: Dreissena polymorpha
Lineage: Eukaryota; Metazoa; Mollusca; Bivalvia; Myida; Dreissenidae
Exons: 3
Source: RefSeq, a predicted model, not a curated record